Molecule: unclassified non-coding RNA, 229 nt
Filed under: plant metagenome
Description: partial contains small subunit ribosomal RNA, internal transcribed spacer 1, and 5.8S ribosomal RNA
Source: RNAcentral
UCUCCGUAGGUGAACCUGCGGAGGGAUCAUUACAGAGUUCAUGCCCUACCGGGUAGAUCUCCCACCCUAUGUUAUUAUUACUUUGUUGCUUUGGCGGGCCGUUAGGCUCCGGCCCGACUACCGGCCCCGGCUGGUAAGCGCCCGCCAGAGGACCCAAAACCCUGAAUAUUAGUGUCUUCUGAGUAAUAUAUAAUAGUUAAAACUUUCAACAACGGAUCUCUUGGUUCUG